GACGAACGCUGGCGGCGUGCUUAACACAUGCAAGUCGAACGGAAAGGCCCUGCUUUUGUGGGGUGCUCGAGUGGCGAAAGGGUGAGUAACACGUGAGUAACCUGCCCUUGACUUUGGGAUAACUUCAGGAAACUGGGGCUAAUACCGGAUAGGAGCUCCUGCUGCAUGGUGGGGGUUGGAAAGUUUCGGCGGUUGGGGAUGGACUCGCGGCUUAUCAGCUUGUUGGUGGGGGAGUGGCUUACCAAGGCUUUGACGGGUAGCCGGCCUGAGAGGGUGACCGGCCACAUUGGGACUGAGAUACGGCCCAGACUCCUACGGGAGGCAGCAGUGGGGAAUAUUGCACAAUGGGCGGAAGCCUGAUGCAGCAACGCCGCGUGCGGGAUGACGGCCUUCGGGUUGUAAACCGCUUUCGCCUGUGACGAAGCGUGAGUGACGGUAAUGGGUAAAGAAGCACCGGCUAACUACGUG
RNAcentral lists this ribosomal RNA (468 nucleotides) under uncultured bacterium. RNAcentral's name for it is "partial 16S ribosomal RNA". It matches the Rfam family "Bacterial small subunit ribosomal RNA", at positions 28 to 507 of the family's 1533-position model. The record is from RNAcentral.